CGCCGGCGGCCUGGCGGUUCUCCUCCUGCAGGGACGCGCAGCCCGGGACCGCCACUAGCAGUGCGGGGUGGGGAGGGCGGGGCCGGGGGACAGGAGGGGAGGCGCCCGGGCGCUUUCAACGGUCCAGGUCUGCGGAUGGAGCGGGGACCCACCCGCUCACUGUCCCCUUCCGCAGUCAGCGCCUGGCGCCAGGGAGCUGUCCGCCCCGGUGGUUCUGAACCAGGCGCUGCUGAAACGCUCCAGGUUUUGGUGUUGGUGCUGUGAACGGCUAAUUUCCUUGGAUCCAGAAGCUGGAUUUUCUUGGAUUCUUAGAAGCUGGCUUGACAUUGAAGUCUAUCAAAGAGAAUUUGCAUCUGCUUUUCACAGCAUCCUAGAGGUGCUACCAAUCUGGGACCACUUUGAAUAUAUUUAUCUAUUUGUGAUUUUUGGUGGCUGCAGAGGUUCUGUGAAUUUGAACUAAAAACUCUUGUAAUAUCUUAGUUGUAUAUUUUCAGAGGAAUUUUUUUUUUGCCAACACCAAGUCUAGAUAGGCAGAGAGGAUACCUGAGUAAUUCUGUGAAGGUGAAUUACAUUCGUGACUUGGAAAGGCUACCUUGAUGAUAGAUGAGAUUUGGGGAGUUGGACAUCUGCUGUGACCAGAGGGCUGUUACAGAAGGGAAUUUGGAGAUUCCAGUUGGUUACAGGGGCACAUGCAAUGUUAUUUUUAACCUCCCUUACAGGAGGGACUGGCAUUUCUCUGGUUGCUAGGGAAAUUGUGUUCUGAACUGUUACACAUUGGUUCCUAAUUUUAAAAGUCUUAGGGAAAACUAGAAAACUUUAUGAGCCAGUACCAGUGUGUUGUGCUAGGACUGUGCACCUGCUAAAACGUGGCUAUUUUUCUCUUAAUGUACUCACGGGCAACUGUCACCAUAGCAACAACAAUGCGGGACCUUGCUGGUUCAUAGCGGAGGAUUCCUGUUGGUUUAGUGAUGGAGGCCAGUCCAGAAGCCUGUUCAGGAUUGAAGGAAGGUGAUGGAUUAGAGUUGAAAUAUCAUGGAGACCCUCUUCCCAGGGAAAGAAAGGGGGAAAUUUGACCGCUGGAAAGAGUGAGAGUGAGAUCUCCCGACUUUGCAUUCCUGAAGACUGCUUGGGCCUGGUGAGACAGGCAUGUUUUGUUUGGAUGCUAAAUUAAGUGGAGAGGAGACCUUAUGAUGUGAGUUUGGCAGAGGAAUAAAUCAAAUAAAACAAUAAGGCGAGCAGUUAUCCAAACAAAAUGGGCUUACAACCCUGGAUAUUAAUGAGGCUUUUACUUUAAACAGAUAUGUUUAACCAAGCAGCAUGAAUCCAUAUUGGGAACUGGAGGAAUUAUGGAGAUUGUGUUGGAAUCCUGCCCAAAAGAGGUUUGACUAUGUUAUCUUGUGCUAACAGGAGCGCCCAGGGAGCAAGAGAAGCCCUGAGACAGUGGCAAGGGACACUGUGGGGCCGCAGUAUAAGUAACCUGUGUCCUCCCUCCCUCUUCAAAUGAGAGCUGGGGUCCUGGAAUUGGAUCCCAGACAUCAGCACCCUGAAAUCCAUGAGAUAAGGUGAGGUGGGCUGGAAAGGCCUCAAGGGAGGAGAGGAGGCGGGACAGGAGGGAUAGGGAUGCAGGCUCUAGGAGGAGGGAGAUGCUUCAGCAUCAUCCAGCCCAUAGCUGUCUAUCUCCUUCUCGAAAUGAGAUGCUAAUGGCAGGGUGAGAGGAUCGCUGAGAGAGAGGAAAAGGAGUACAAAGCUGUAUAAGCCAUAAUGCCUGGCCCUCCCCAGACCUAUUCUCAGAGGACAACACAGGAUUCUCAGUGACAGCACUUAGGAUGCAGGGAGGGUCUUUGUGCUUGUCAUAAAGUGCUUAUAGGCAGUGCUGUUUCAGGGGGAAAACAUGCUUGAACAACUUCCUGGAAUUUCCUUCUCAGAAUAAGUAUGACAGAUUGGCAUUUUAGAAUCUUGUGUUUGACAGUAUGACACAAACAGAUAAAACCACAAUGAUGGAAUCAAAUAAUAAAAUAGGCUAUGACCAUGCAUUUUCCCUCACCUAUGUAGUAAUAGAAACUAUAUUAUCUCAGGUGCUUUUUAAGAACAUUGCUAAAUUGCCUUCCAUUUUUCCUGGGGUGGCACUUGGUGGUUAGUACUGGGAGGAGCACAGGGAGAGUGGGCAGAGGUGGGAGCAGAGUCUAGCACCUAUAGUUCUGACACCUGUCACUCACUUGCUAUGGGGGUGAGGAGGUUGGGAGAGUAGGUUUUACCACCAAAAAAGCUUUUUUAAAAAGUGUAUAAUCCAUUGACUUUUAGUAUAGUCACAGAGUUGUACAAUUAUCACCAAAACCAAUUUUAGAACAUUUUCACAAUCUUCCGGAGAAAUCCAAUAUUCUAGAGCAACAACUCCCCAUUUUCCCUGAAGACUGCCAUCUCCACCCCAGUCUAACCCUAGGCAACCACUAAUUGACUUUUUUGUCUCUAUAGAUUUCUGGACAUUUUGUAUAAAUGGCAUCAUACAAUAAGUGCCCUUUCGGGUGACUAUCUUCUUUUACUCAGCAUAAUGUUUCCAAGCUUCCUAUAAUAUCUUUUUGUUUAGAUGCAUCCAGGAGGGAUGGUCAUGGUGGACCUGAAAGACCUGAACAGAGAGCCUUUGUGAGGAGCUGAGCUGAGCUGAGCUGGCAUUUGGAAGCAGAGCCUCAGGGAGACCCAGUUCUGAUGGAAUUGAGAGAGGGCGACGUGGGAGUUGGUAUAAGGAAACUGAGGCCCAGA
Molecule: long non-coding RNA, 2757 nt
Organism: Cebus imitator (Panamanian white-faced capuchin)
Lineage: Eukaryota; Metazoa; Chordata; Mammalia; Primates; Cebidae
Exons: 5
Source: RefSeq, a predicted model, not a curated record